RNAcentral lists this ribosomal RNA (422 nucleotides) under uncultured bacterium. Its description in RNAcentral is "bacterial SSU rRNA". It matches the Rfam family "Bacterial small subunit ribosomal RNA", at positions 355 to 774 of the family's 1533-position model. The record is from RNAcentral.
UGAGGAAUAUUGGUCAAUGGGGGCAACCCUGAACCAGCCAAGUCGCGUGAAGGAUGAAGGUCUUAUGGAUUGUAAACUUCUUUUAUACAGGAAUAAAUUGGGGGACGUGUCCCCUUUUGCAUGUACUGUAUGGAUAAGGAUCGGCUAACUCCGUGCCAGCAGCCGCGGUAAUACGGAGGAUCCGAGCGUUAUCCGGAUUUAUUGGGUUUAAAGGGUGCGCAGGCGGGAUGUUAAGUCGGCGGUGAAAUUUUGCAGCUCAACUGUAAAAGUGCCUUCGAUACUGGCCUCCUUGAGUGUGGAUGAAGUAGGCGGAAUUUGUGGUGUAGCGGUGAAAUGCUUAGAUAUCACGGGGAACUCCGAUUGCGCAGGCAGCUUACUAAGCCACAACUGACGCUCAUGCACGAAGGCGUGGGGAUCAAACA